This 468-nucleotide ribosomal RNA is filed under the name uncultured bacterium. RNAcentral describes it as "partial 16S ribosomal RNA". It matches the Rfam family "Bacterial small subunit ribosomal RNA", at positions 28 to 507 of the family's 1533-position model. The record is from RNAcentral.
GACGAACGCUGGCGGCGUGCUUAACACAUGCAAGUCGAACGGAAAGGCCCUGCUUUUGUGGGGUGCUCGAGUGGCGAACGGGUGAGUAACACGUGAGUAACCUGCCCUUGACUUUGGGAUAACUUCAGGAAACUGGGGCUAAUACCGGAUAGGAGCUCCUGCUGCAUGGUGGGGGUUGGAAAGUUUCGGCGGGUGGGGAUGGACUCGCGGCUUAUCAGCUUGUUGGUGGGGUAGUGGCUUACCAAGGCUUUGACGGGUAGCCGGCCUGAGAGGGUGACCGGCCACAUUGGGACUGAGAUGCGGCCCAGACUCCUACGGGAGGCAGCAGUGGGGAAGGUUGCACAAUGGGCGGAAGCCUGAUGCAGCAACGCCGCGUGCGGGAUGACGGCCUUCGGGUUGUAAACCGCUUUCGCCUGUGACGAAGCGUGAGUGACGGUAAUGGGUAAAGAAGCACCGGCUAACUACGUG